UCACUUUGGCAGUGCAUGUGCUAAAAUUGGACUGGUUCAAUUAGCAUGGGCCCUGCGCACAAAUGACAUGCAAAUUCAUGAAAUAUUCCAUAUCUUU
Molecule: small nuclear RNA, 97 nt
Filed under: Pteropus vampyrus (large flying fox)
Lineage: Eukaryota; Metazoa; Chordata; Mammalia; Chiroptera; Pteropodidae
Source: RNAcentral